GACGAACCGUGCAAACGUUGUUCGGAAUCACUGGGCUUAAAGGGCGCGUAGGCGGGCUGCCAAGUCUGUGGUGAAAUACUCCAGCUCAACUGGAGAACUGCCGCGGAUACUGGCGGUCUCGAGGGAGGUAGGGGCGCGCGGAACACUAGGUGGAGCGGUGAAAUGCGUUGAUAUCUAGUGGAACUCCGGUGGCGAAGGCGGCGCGCUGGACCUCUUCUGACGCUGAGGCGCGAAAGCCAGGGGAGCGAACGGG
RNAcentral lists this ribosomal RNA (253 nucleotides) under uncultured prokaryote. Its description in RNAcentral is "partial 16S ribosomal RNA". It matches the Rfam family "Bacterial small subunit ribosomal RNA", at positions 524 to 776 of the family's 1533-position model. The record is from RNAcentral.